Molecule: long non-coding RNA, 148 nt
Organism: Mauremys reevesii (Reeves's turtle)
Lineage: Eukaryota; Metazoa; Chordata; Testudines; Geoemydidae
Exons: 3
Source: RefSeq, a predicted model, not a curated record
UAUGGCCCAAAGAACAUAAUAGGGUGACAAAAAGGGAACAGAUCUUGGAUGUGUCCUCCUAACUACUGGGGAGUGCCCAGCAAGUAUAGAACCAGCUCAGUCAUCUUCCAGUUAGAGAAGUUGAAUAUAAAAAAGAUCAAGACUCGUC